CAGUAGCCGCGGUAAUACGAAGGGGGCUAGCGUUGCUCGGAAUGACUGGGCGUAAAGGGCGCGUAGGCGGCGGCCAAAGUCAGGCGUGAAAUUCCCGGGCUCAACCUGGGGGCUGCGUUUGAUACUUGGUUGCUUGAGUGGGGAAGAGGGUCGUGGAAUUCCCAGUGUAGAGGUGAAAUUCGUAGGUAUUGGGAAAAACACCGGUGGCGAAGGCGGCGACCUGGUCCUUUACUGACGCUGAGGCGCGAAAGCGUGGGGAGCAAACAGGAUUAGAUACCCCCGUAGCCCUGUCUCUUAUACA
Molecule: ribosomal RNA, 301 nt
Filed under: uncultured bacterium
Lineage: Bacteria
Description: partial 16S ribosomal RNA
Rfam family: Bacterial small subunit ribosomal RNA
Source: RNAcentral